This 403-nucleotide ribosomal RNA is filed under the name bacterium. RNAcentral describes it as "partial 16S ribosomal RNA". It matches the Rfam family "Bacterial small subunit ribosomal RNA", at positions 355 to 776 of the family's 1533-position model. The record is from RNAcentral.
UGGGGAAUAUUGCACAAUGGGGGAAACCCUGAUGCAGCGACGCCGCGUGAACGAAGAAGGUAUUCGUAUCGUAAAGUUCUGUCCUAUGGGAAGAUAAUGACAGUACCAUAGAAGAAAGCUCCGGCUAAAUACGUGCCAGCAGCCGCGGUAAUACGUAUGGAGCGAGCGUUGUCCGGAAUUAUUGGGCGUAAAGGGUACGCAGGCGGUUUAAUAAGUCGAAUGUUAAAGAUCGGGGCUCAACCCCGCAAAGCAUUGGAAACUGAUAAACUCGAGUAGUGGAGAGGAAAGUGGAAUUCCUAGUGUAGUGGUGAAAUACGUAGAUAUUAGGAGGAAUACCAGUAGCGAACGCGACUUUCUGGACACAAACUGACGCUGAGGUACGAAAGCGUGGGGAGCAAACAGG